Molecule: unclassified non-coding RNA, 264 nt
Filed under: plant metagenome
Description: partial contains small subunit ribosomal RNA and internal transcribed spacer 1
Source: RNAcentral
AAAGUCGUAACAAGGGUUUUCCCGUAGGUGAACCUGCGGAAGGAUCAAUUACAAAAUAAAGCUGGUAGGAAGUGGGGGUCUUGAUCUGUAAGUGGUAGAGCUGAACAGUCCGGCUGCCUCCCGAAACUGUCUUACAUGUCCCCCACGCCUGAAGGCCGAAUUACAACCUUGAUUAUCUCACUUGUUGCUUGGGGGGUGCUCAAGUCCCCAGAGGACCCAACUCUCUGCAUUUAGUGACGUCUGAGUACUAUAUAAUAUUUAAAA